Molecule: ribosomal RNA, 568 nt
Filed under: uncultured archaeon
Lineage: Archaea
Description: bacterial SSU rRNA
Rfam family: Bacterial small subunit ribosomal RNA
Source: RNAcentral
ACGGGGCGCAGCAGUGGGGAAUAUUGGGCAAUGGGGGGAACCCUGACCCAGCGACGCCGCGUGAGGGAAGACAGCCUUCGGGUUGUAAACCUCUGUUGCAGGGGAAGAAGGACGUGACGGUACCCUGCGAGGAAGCUCCGGCUAACUACGUGCCAGCAGCCGCGGUAAUACGUAGGGAGCGAGCGUUAUCCGGAAUUACUGGGCGUAAAGGGCGCGUAGGCUGUGGUUCAAGUCGUCUGUUAAAUAUUGAGGCUUAACCUCAAGGAGCAGACGAAACUGGAUGACUGGAGACACAGAGUGGCAAACAGAAUUCCUGGUGUAGCGGUGAAAUGCGUAGAUAUCAGGAAGAAUACCGGUGGCGAAGGCGGUUUGUUGGCUGUGAUCUGACGCUGAAGCGCGAAAGCCAGGGGAGCGAACGGGAUUAGAUACCCCGGUAGUCCUGGCAGUAAACGAUGUAUGCUGGGUGUGAGACUAGCGAUAGUUUCGUGCCGAAGUCAACGCGAUAAGCAUACCGCCUGGGGAGUACGGUCGCAAGAUUGAAACUCAAAGGAAUUGGCGGGGGAGCACA